Equus caballus (horse) is the source of this 3331-nucleotide long non-coding RNA. NCBI's taxonomy places the organism in Eukaryota, Metazoa, Chordata, Mammalia, Perissodactyla, Equidae. The record is from Ensembl.
GUAAGUGAUCUCCAGGUUCUACAAUGACUUUGAUUGUGUUGCUCCCCCUGCCUUGCAUGAUGGUUAAUUUUGUGUAUCAACUUGACUGGGCUUGGAGAUGCUCAGAUAGCUGGUGAAAUAUUAUUUUUGGGUGUAUCUGUGAGGGUGUUUCUGGAAGAGAUAGUAUUUGAAUUGGUGAACUGAGUAAAGCAGAUGGCUCUACCCAAUGUGGGUGAGCAUCAUCCACUCCUGUGAGGACUCAAAUAGAACAAAACUGCAGUGGAAGGGCAAAUUUGCUCUCUGUUGAGCUGGGAUCCCCAUUUUCUCCUGUCCUGCUUCUUUGGCUUUUGGACUUCUAGUGACUCACACCAUUGGCUUUCCUGCGUCUCCAGCUCGCACACGGCAGAUUGUGGGACUUCUAGGCCUCCAUAACCAUGCAGUGUAGUAGGAGCUGGACACAGAAGAGGAGCAAGACGUGGUACCUGCACUUAAGUAGUUCACAACCUGAUAAUGGAAUUGACAAGUACAGGAAUAAAUGCCAGAAUCAGGUGCUAAAAGCAGUGUAAAAAGAGAUAGGGAAGUAGGUGGGAGAAUGCCAGAAGACUUCAAAGAAUAAGCAACAUAUUAGUAGACUCUUUUUUUUCUUCUGCUUUUUCUCCCCAAGCCACCCAGUAUAUAGUGGUAUAUCUUAGUUGUGGGUCCUUCUAGUUGUGGUGUGUGGGACGCCGCCUCAACGUGGCCUGGUGAGCAGUGUCAUGUCCGUGCCCAGGAUCCAAACCAGUGAAACCCUGGGCCGCUGCAGUGGAGCCUGUGAACUUAACCACUCGGCCACCAGCCGGUACCCCCUAGGAGACUCUUAAAGCACAGAUAAAAUCUUAGCUGAAUUGGGCAUCCUGGGCAGGAUGGGAAAUCCAGAUGGAAGAAAGAGACUAAGUGAAGACCUGGAAAACAUGGCGGAUCCUGGUGCAACGGUGGCUAAUCCCGCCUCCCUGACUGUGGUGUGUGAGGCCGAGUGGAGGCGCAGUCGCUGAGAGAGGGAGAACGGGAAAGCACGGCCACCUGGUGUUUCGCUCCCCUGCGUUUCUGUCUCAGGCCUGGUGGAUUUCAGGCAGCUGUCCUGCAGAAGUUGUUUCACAAACCGAUUCAUGCUAAGGUGACUUGACAGAGAAAGUCUUAACGCGCUACUGUUUCUGUGGAAAUCUACAUCUUAAAAGGGAAAAGUUUAAGAACACAAUGAUUUACUUGACAGGAUUCCCCUGGUGGAUUUUAUACCCUGAGCGAGGGGCGUAGGAGCAACGUCCUUUUGGCCAGGGAACACUGUUGGAGAACAUAACCCGGUAAUCGCAGUGGGGAGAGGAAAUUUGGACACAGACGUGAUACGGAGGGAAGAUGAUGUGAAGACACAUGGAGAAGAUGCCACCUACAAGCCAAGGAGAAAGGCCUGAACAGAUCCUUCUUUCAUGCCCUUCAGAGGGAACCAACCCUGCUGACACCUUGAUCUUGGACUUCCAGCCUCCAGAGUUGUGAGACAAUACAUUUCUGUUGUUUAAGCCCCCUGUCUGUGGUACAUUGUUAUGGCAGGCCUGGCAACCAAUACAGUACUCUAGUGGACAUUUCCUACGAAUGAGGACACUUCCCUACAUGGCCAACCAUGCAAGAUCAAAACCAGGAAAUUGACACUGUUUCCAAAGGCAUGAGGAGGAGAGGGUGAAAAGAUGAGAACCAAGAGGAGUAAAAGCAAGGAAUGGGGAGGAGAGAGAGCAAGAGAGUCCUCUUUUGGACCUGGCUUUCUGACUGGGCCAGCCUCUAUACCUGAUGCAGGAAGAAAGGAGCCAGCUUCUCAGGCUGCCGCAGGCCCAGGGACGCAUCUUCCUGAAGACACUGCAAGCUUGAGGCCUUCGAACCGCGGCUCUCGGGACUGAGCCAUCAGUACCUGCGAAGUUUUGUCUCUGGGACUUCGAUAGCACCUCCAGUCAGACAUGUUAAAAAACAAAAUAACAAAAGCCAAGCAAACCCCACACCACCCGGAGGUUGUAUACAAGUCUCAAAUUUCUGAUCUGCCGUACAUCCAGAAGUGACGUCAAACGUCAUUUUACAAACGCUUUAUCCAUUUCUCAAUUAGGAGUUCUCAAAGAUGUCGAGACCAAGAGUAUCUGAAUAAUACAAAAACCCCACUUCCUUUCACUAUUUUUCCUUUCCUCAGGUAGAAAAACAAAUCGUUAUGAGAAUGACUGGGAGAAGUCAGUGGGGUGAGGCUUGGCCUUUAUUAAGUAGCAGAACUGAAUUAUUAAUUCAUGUGAGGAAUGAAAGUACAGUCUCUUAUACCCUAAAUGUUUGGACCUCAAAGCCCAGCCCACACGUUUCCUGCGAGGAACACUGGCUACACGAUUUGUAGGGCCCGGUGCAAAAUGAAAAUGAGGCACCCCUUGCUUAAAAUUGUUCAGAAUUUAAGACAUCAACAGCAGAGCUUUCAAACCCAGUGCACGGCCCGCUGGAGUGAGGAGCCCUGGGUGGACGUCCGUGGAGCUGGCCCGCUUGGGAGCGGUGACCAGCAUUUGAGCCCUGGGAGAAAGGGAAAGGUAAACCUUCUACUCUACCAGUGGAUGCCCAAGAAAGAAGCAACCUUGUGCACCAGGUCACACCAAAGAAGGCUGGGGUCAGACCACCACUCCCAAUGCACCCCCUUCAUGUCUGUGUUUGGAAUAAGAACUCCAGCCCCCACCCACUGAACCAGUGUCUGUGUCACCAGUGGAUGAGACCCAAUUUCUGGAAUAAAGAGGAAAGGAUCUGUGUCAGAGGUUUGUCACCUCCUUUUUUAAUACACUUGAAUUUUUAGAGCAGUUUUAGGUUUGCAGCAAAGUUGAGAGGAAGGUGCAGAGAUUUCCCAUAGACCUCUUGCCUACACACAUGCAUAGUCUCCCCCAUUAUCAACAUCCUCCAGCAGAGCGGUCCAUUUGUUACAAUUGAUGAACUUAUAUUGACACGUCAUUAACACCCAGACUCCAUGGUUUACGUUAGGGUCAUGCUUGGUGUUGUCCAUUCUGCAGGUUUGGACAAAUAUAUGAUGUCACGUGUCCAUCAUUACAGUAUCAUACAGAACAGUUUCACUGCCCAAAAUCCUCUGCUCUGCCUGGUUAUCCUUCCUUCCUCCUAAUGAUACUUCAGCUAUUUUUUGGUGCCAUGGACUCCUUUGUCAGUCUGGUGAAGUCUUUGGUCAUCUUUCCAAAAUAAGAUUUUUAAUGCAUAAAAUACAAUAAUAACUCAAGUACAAAAGGAAGUCAUACACUAAAUAAAGUUAUGAAAACAUUAAAAAACAAAAUCAUGCUGGUAAUCCGUUUGCCCCUUUAUUAGC